GUGCUUGCUUCAAAAGCACAUAUACUAAAACUGGAGCAAUACAGAGAAGAUUAGCAUGGUCCCUGUGCCAGGAUGACAUGUGAAUUUAUGAAGCAUUACAUAUAUUU
Dama dama (fallow deer) is the source of this 107-nucleotide small nuclear RNA. Lineage: Eukaryota; Metazoa; Chordata; Mammalia; Artiodactyla; Cervidae. The record is from RefSeq and is a predicted model, not a curated record.